UAUUCUUCAAGUACUUCAAAAUUUUCUAAUAUCAUUUUUAAAAAUUUAAGUAAAAAUAUCGUUUUUACGACUCAUAAUUUUCAAUACAUUGGAAUUUCCAACAAUUCAACUAUCAAAAUGGGCUACCCUGAUGCGUACAUGUAUGUAUGUGUGUAUGUAUUUAUGCAUGUAGACAAACACAUUUGCAGUCGUCUAAUGAUUUGUGGGCCUCGUUGGCACAUACAGAUUUGCACGCACUCGACUCAAUCGAUUUGUAGAAGAAGGGGGACGGCAAAACAGAUUUGGGUUGAAUCAUAGCCGAUCUGUGGCAGUACCUCUGGAAAAAGUCGACUGACGGUGAGAAGGAUUUUUCUGCUCAAAACUAUCUCAAAUCCAAGAACCAAAAAAAUUUUAUUGUUACAAUAGAUAAAUACAAGUAAUGAUAGAAGGACUGAUUUAUCAGCUGAUCAAAUUUGAUCCGGACUCCGAUAAAAAAUUUAGUUUACUACAACCUUUUUUAUGUUCGUGUAAGGUGUGAUUUCUAUAUGUCAAUUACUGUAUGUUUACAACUCGAAAGGUUUGUCUGAAGAUUUUUACCAUUAACAAAAAAAAUUGAACAACGAAUUUCCUUCAAAUUUUUAUUUCCAAUAAAAUCACGGUUACGGAUUCUUUGAAAAUAAUGCCGAAAUGUUUUGUAGAAACAAAGCUAUCACGAACACAUUUAUUUAAGUAGCGCAAAUCAUUCAAUGAAGGUCGUGAAGUCACCGAUAACUUAUCUCUUGCGAGUCGUCCAUCAUCCGGUGUGAAAGACGAUAACAUCGCAACAUCUCUUAUGGAUCGACUAAACUUCUAUCAAAAACCCGUAUCUUUUGUAAAAACGGCGACGAGAGAGGUCGCAAAAGACAACGUAGCUGAGAGCUUCACAUUAAUCAAACGCAUCCUUACUGGUUGCAACACGGGGCUUUCUGAAUAUGUCGUCGAAACUGUCCAACAAUCUAGCGAAUGGCAUUCCAAAAUGAGCUGAAACCGAAAAAAUAUAAAUUAACCAUAAUUGGACCAAUAUCAUCCACCGAUAUCUAUUUUCAGUAGGGAAGCACAUAAUUGUAAGGGAAAUAUUGUCGCUUAUUAUUUGUAAUGAUGUCUAGUUUUUUCAAAGUUAUACGUGUAUAUGGAUAAAAUAAGAAGAUGAAUGAACAGAUUGUACCUAAUUAUAGAACCAGACCACAGUAUUUUUGAUGAUCUCAUUUAAUUGUAUUGAAAUAUCUUACUUAAAUCAUAUCUACAUAAAAAAGAGUUUAUUACAUUUGCAGAGGUUCAGAAUUGAUGGUAUGGCGGUUAGGGCAACGUAUGGACCGAUUCCAGCCAGGUUUAAUACCAGACCUAAUUAUUGUCUUAGAAAUACAUGUUCAAAUUACAUUAAAAUGUCUAUUCAAAUAUCUCACAUAUGGGCAAAUUUAUUUGAGCUAAAAUCAACC
Molecule: non-coding RNA, 1454 nt
Organism: Bactrocera oleae (olive fruit fly)
Lineage: Eukaryota; Metazoa; Arthropoda; Insecta; Diptera; Tephritidae
Source: RefSeq, a predicted model, not a curated record